Molecule: long non-coding RNA, 4577 nt
Filed under: Lynx pardinus (Iberian lynx)
Lineage: Eukaryota; Metazoa; Chordata; Mammalia; Carnivora; Felidae
Source: RNAcentral
GUUAUGUGCUGCUGUAUUAAAUAUAAAACAUUUUCAUUUCCUUUGUAUAGGAAAUUCAAUAGGACCUGAAAAGGGGGUCAACCAAGUACUGCGACUCCCACAAUAAAAUGUGAGUGGUGCUAAUAUUCCUUUUCCAACUCUCGAGUGACUGCAAAUAACCAAACAGAUAAAAUGUAGCUUUCAUAAAACUCCGAGGUUUGGUGGAGAAUUAGCAUGAGACUUGUACUUGCUACUUGCUAACGGAAGGUUGGCCAAGAGCUCAGAUUUAUGCCAUGAAAUUUAAAUGGUUUUCUCCUGAGGUUUUCUUGACAAUAUCAUUGUAUGCGGCUGAGUUAGUUUAUUGGCACGUUUGUACGGAGAUUGUUUUUGGAGGAGUGGGGGGUGAGAGGGUAGGGGUGACGGUAACCUAUUCCUUUAAGAAACCCAGCACUUAUGGGGCUCUGGGGAAUUUUAAAGCAGGGAAUUUGGAAGAGUAACACAUGCAAGAGUCUCCAAAUGGUGAGGCAGAAUCAACAACAUUUACAAAAUUACAUUGGGGGAAAAAAUAACAUGGUAAGAUCGCAGUUCUUUUGUUGGGGUGUUUAUAACAUAACACAUGGCUUCCUCUCACCAGGCUUCUGAAAUUAGAAUGAUAUUGCUAGAAGAUUUUGUAUGGAUCGGGCUUUGAAUUUGCAUGCAAGUUUGCAGGGAAUUUUGUGCAAAGAUGAAAACCCUGUCUGAAUUCAGACCCAGGUAUUUUAGCAGCCACCGAAAGGUUAUUCACUGCGCGCCCGAUACAAUGUCGCUAACUAACUUAGAAACAGGAGGUCACAGAUUAAAGUUAAAGAGGAAGGUUAGGCCUAUGAGCAAUGCAAGCAGAAUUUAAUUACAAAAAGGGUAGCUGAAUAAUGGCACACAUAGCUAAAGGCAGCAAUAGAUACAGGAAUUGUAAAUCAGUUCAAGGAAGCUCAGAGAAAAAGGAAAUAAAAAAAAAAGAAAGAAAGAAAGAAAACAAAUCAACGCUCUUAAAAAUAUCCUAGGGUUAACUGAGCAAGCCUCAGUAGAUCAGAGUCAAGGCUUUAUCCUUUCAACGUCCCUGUGCUUUGAAAAAGACACCUCAACAGCAGUUCAUUGAUUUCCGCAAAGGCCGAAGACCUGUGUCAUCCACCCAAUUGAAUUCUUUUGUGCUGUACAUGUGCUUACCCUAUAUUGUCUGUCCCCUUACAAUUUUAUCUCCCCGUGUAUACAUUUCUCCCACCCUGAGUAGGACACAAUUAUUCCAUUCUUGCCAACAUGAGCCGUAUAAUCACCUUGGGAACUGACAUUUCAUUCAUGCCCUUGCAAGCCACGAGAGGAAUUAAAGGUCCGUGUCCUCUGUGUCUUUACUGUUUUAUUCCUUCCAUGCAUUUCGAGGGUAGUGGCUAAAUAUCACCGCAAAAAAGAAUUCAUCUCAAGCUGGAACUUUACACAAAAAUUGCACAUCUAAUAAUAAUUAUGCUGUUUUAUUUUUUUUUAAAUGACUGUAUUUCUGGACAAGGAAAUAAAACGAAGCAAGGCCAACGUUAAAAUGCCAAAAUAGCAGAGGAUGUCUGUGAAGUGGAGCUUACAAUGGAACUGCCAGAAAGCUCGAGCUAACAUUAGAAUCAUGUGAAAGUUGGCAACCCAGACUCACGUAGAGCUAAAGAAACAGUGUUUUUGUAUAUUCCAGUUCCUGUUGGUUCUGAUCCCUUGAAUGUUGCUUGGGGUAUUACACUCCCAAUUCCAAACAAAUUUCAGCGAAACCUCAAAAUAUUUUCAACUAUAAGAAACCAAACACGAUUCCCACUAAGCAUAAUAAAACAGCUCAAAUUUCAGGAAAGCUUUAAGAAUCUCCUUAGAACACUGAGGUGUGAAAGUUCCCAGGAAAGAACCAACCAUUCUCAUGUCUAAGGCGCGUCAUGCUUCGGUUUCGGCUUUAGGUUGAUUUUCUGUUUUUAAGCAAUUUCACUCCUACUCCUCUGCACCUCGCAACCCAGUGUCCAAUGCUUUUGAAUCAGGCUGCUUAUUUUUGAAAAAAUAACCCAAUUGACAUUUAUUGGGCAGGUGGUAGCCAGGCGUCUUCUCUGUAGGGAAAGAAAAUUAUUUUAGGUGUUUUCCCCACUCUCCUGCCUUUCGGACUAAGUGAAUUUCAGCACCUGAUCCAAAUCACAAAGGUCAUCCAUUAGCAGAAAACAAAAACUAAUUUGGCUUUCCCUGGCACCUCUCAUACUCUGCGAUUGUCUAAUAGUUUGCAUGGUGAUAAGUGGGAGGCUUGGAGAAGAAUGGUUUGUAUGCAGGUCGCGUAUCAGAAUGUCACCAUGUUCUUAGGGCCAACCUGUAACACAGCUUCAGACAGUGGGAGGGUGGCGGUUAGUUUAUUGACUGGCACGCUGUACAAUGAAUUGGUUUUUUUACUGAAUCUCAAAUAACUAUUCUGCUCUUCAUUAAUAAUCUUAAAACAGCAGCUACACAAGUAGAUUUAUGGUGGAUUUUCCCCCUUUUGUCAUACUGUCUUCUCUCCUCUGUCAUUAGUUCAACGACUUAUCACUUCAAAACGGUAGGCCUAGGAAAGACAUUUGACAGUUUUAAACCAAUAUUUGAUUGGCAUCAUGGUUGCAGUGACAUCCUAGAUAUAGAUGGAACGUGUGGCGUGAAUUCACCCUCUGCCUCCCAAUGGCUUCUUUUGCAGAAAACGAGAGGACAGAUUGAUUAAGAAAACCCAGAAGAAUAAAUAAAGGUGAGAAAUCUGCUGAUGCAGCCCUACGUGAAGAAUCGCAUUACUUAUUUUUAGAUUUAUGCUUAGAAGACAAAGAAAUCUAUAUGAGCCCCUGCCUGCCUGUAACUUUCCUCUAAGCUCUUUUAAAAAUUAUAUGCAAGUAUGUGUGUGUACACAUAUAUAUCUAUAUCUAUACAUAUCUAUAUCUAUCUAUCUAUCUAGAUGGAUAUUUCAAUGCAAUCACUUUGACGUUAUUCCAGAGAAAUACUUUUUUAGUCUUUCCUAUUGAUUCAGAAAUUCUUCCUUUUCUCACCCUUGUCAAAACUUUUCACUUAUGACCCAAGAGCUGGGGACCAAAAUCAGUACUGUCCUGUUUUGAGUGUCAUUGUGCAGUGAUCCUAAGUGGCCCCUAAACACUUUUGUCGAUAUUUAUUGAUGGGAUCCACGGGCACUCUGAGUGAUCCCACUCUGGAGGGGCACCAACCAAUGGCAAGGUGAACGGGGGAAGGAGGUGGUCCUGCUGUAGGCCAGAGCUGGCAAAGCAGUGUCGGGAUGCUCAGGGGUCAUUGACAAAAUGUCAAACAUUUCAAAUUUCUGACUAGCUCUCUGACUAAUGCCAUACUAAGCAGAAACAUGGCCAUUUCCUCCAAGGAACCAACAGACACACAGACACAUAAACACACAGAAAUAAAUACAGUCUCUGUGUUUUUUUUCUCUUCCAUUUGCUUGCUCUCUUGCUUUAUGUCUUACAUGUGCAUGCGCACACACACACACACACACACACACACACACACACACAAAUAGUCUACAGGGAAAUUAAGUGGUGCCAACGAAACAGUGUACUGAGAAAGUUCUUGGAUAAAUUAACAACGCAAUUACAUUACAUGACAUGCCACAAGAUGGAUGAGGAAAACUUGGCUGGUAUUAUGUUCUGUUUUCAAAUUGCAAUUUAUUUGAGGGUUUUAAUGGAUGCCUUAUUAAAACAUCUCGGCCCUGGUCAGGUUUCAGCAUAUGUCACAGUGGCCUGUGAUUGAUGACACCCUCCGCUGCUUCUCUUGCACAUUUGCAGGGAAUUUAAGCAAAGAGGGAAUGAGCUGAGGCCCAGCUUUGUAUCGAUCGUGUGGAGGUGCGCUGCCUGGGAGCACAGUCUAAUAACAUUCUCUUAGCUGAACUGCUUCACAUGAAGGCAUUUAUUACAAGAACUAAAAUGUUAUAUUGCUCAGAAUAAAAGAAUAUUGUACAAACAAAAGAGUUAGCAGUGAGUGGGGGAGACGGGGAGGCAAUGGCAUGCUAUGGAGCCAGGCCUUGUUAUCUUUCAGAAGCCACAUUUCUAAGUGUUGGUGGAAAACAAUGAAGAAACCAAAGGUUUAAAAGAGGUAAGAGAAAGAAAGGGAAAAUGCUGUAGGCUUGGUUUUUGCUUAUUUCAACCAGUUAGUCAUGCAGAACAGCGGAGUUUCGCGACAAAGAGAAGGCCAGGUGAGGACUGAUAAGGGAGCAGUCUUAAAGUCAUUUGAAAAAUAACUAAAUAUCCAAAGAGAUCAUAAGACAUUAUUUGGAAGGCCAUCUGAAAUCCUUCUCAUUUUAUAGAAGCUGUGGUUAAUUUUUAGGACAAGCUCCCACUUAAAAAGCAAGAGCUAUUCGUACCUAAGGAGUAACCAUACUCCCAUCCACACCGUGGAAAUCUGAUUUCUGUCAUAUUUUAAUUAUAAAACGGGCUCCAUUUGCAAUUUCAAUACUUGAAGCUUUAUAAAGUCUUAUGUGAAUUGUGAAGAAAUUUAUAUUUAAUGUUUAAUCAAAAAAGCAUGAUUCAGUUGGAUAGGUUAUAGACACAGGCACGUCUAGUCAUAGAAAAAAGACUAGAAGG